Molecule: transfer RNA, 72 nt
Filed under: Candidatus Parcubacteria bacterium
Lineage: Bacteria; Candidatus Parcubacteria
Description: tRNA-Thr
Rfam family: tRNA
About the family: Transfer RNA (tRNA) molecules are approximately 80 nucleotides in length. Their secondary structure includes four short double-helical elements and three loops (D, anti-codon, and T loops). Further hydrogen bonds mediate the characteristic L-shaped molecular structure. tRNAs have two regions of fundamental functional importance: the anti-codon, which is responsible for specific mRNA codon recognition, and the 3' end, to which the tRNAs corresponding amino acid is attached (by aminoacyl-tRNA synthetases). tRNAs cope with the degeneracy of the genetic code in two manners: having more than one tRNA (with a specific anti-codon) for a particular amino acid; and 'wobble' base-pairing, i.e. permitting non-standard base-pairing at the 3rd anti-codon position.
Source: RNAcentral
GCCGGAGUAGCUCAGCGGUAGAGCAAGGCUUUCGUAAAGCCGAGGUCGUGGGUUCAAAUCCCACCUCCGGCU